This 64-nucleotide transfer RNA is filed under the name Haliplus sibiricus. Its description in RNAcentral is "tRNA-Cys". It matches the Rfam family "tRNA". From Rfam's summary of the family: Transfer RNA (tRNA) molecules are approximately 80 nucleotides in length. Their secondary structure includes four short double-helical elements and three loops (D, anti-codon, and T loops). Further hydrogen bonds mediate the characteristic L-shaped molecular structure. tRNAs have two regions of fundamental functional importance: the anti-codon, which is responsible for specific mRNA codon recognition, and the 3' end, to which the tRNAs corresponding amino acid is attached (by aminoacyl-tRNA synthetases). tRNAs cope with the degeneracy of the genetic code in two manners: having more than one tRNA (with a specific anti-codon) for a particular amino acid; and 'wobble' base-pairing, i.e. permitting non-standard base-pairing at the 3rd anti-codon position. The record is from RNAcentral. Lineage: Eukaryota; Metazoa; Arthropoda; Insecta; Coleoptera; Haliplidae.
AGCUUUAUAGUUUAUUUAAAAUAUUAAAUUGCAAAUUUAAAGAUAAAUCACUAUUUUAAAGCUU